UCUCCGUAGGUGAACCUGCGGAGGGAUCAUUACAGAGUUCUCGCCUUCGCGGGUAGAUCUCCCACCCACUGUUAUCGUUACUGUGUUGCUUUGGCGGGCCGCCGGGCCCCGCUCGGCCGCCGGCUCCGGCUGGCGCGCGCCCGCCAGAGGCCCAGCAAACUCUGAAUGUUAGUGUCGUCUGAGUACUAUAUAAUAGUUAAAACUUUCAACAACGGAUCUCUUGGUUCUG
This 229-nucleotide unclassified non-coding RNA is filed under the name plant metagenome. RNAcentral describes it as "partial contains small subunit ribosomal RNA, internal transcribed spacer 1, and 5.8S ribosomal RNA". The record is from RNAcentral.